RNAcentral lists this ribosomal RNA (45 nucleotides) under Chlorella vulgaris. RNAcentral's name for it is "partial 28S ribosomal RNA". Lineage: Eukaryota; Viridiplantae; Chlorophyta; Trebouxiophyceae; Chlorellales; Chlorellaceae. The record is from RNAcentral.
UCGACCUGAGCUCAGGCAAGACUACCCGCUGAACUUAAGCAUAUC